This 169-nucleotide non-coding RNA is filed under the name bovine gut metagenome. The record is from RNAcentral.
AUUGGUUCACUUCAAUGUGAUGAAAAGGGAACCAGGUGAAAGUCCUGGACAGUCCCCGCUGCUGUGAACCGUCCUUUCAGAGGGUGAACUCAUGCCACUGAUAGCGUUUUUGUUAUUGGGAAGGCGUUUGCCUAUCGGACGGGGAAGUCAGAAGACCUGCCAGUUAUGA